CCUACGGUGUGCAGCAGUGAGGAAUAUUGGUCAAUGGGCGAGAGCCUGAACCAGCCAAGUCGCGUGAGGGAUGACGGUCCUAUGGAUUGUAAACCUCUUUUGUCGGGGAACAAAGGCGUCCACGUGUGGACUGAUGAGUGUACCCGAAGAAAAAGCAUCGGCUAACUCCGUGCCAGCAGCCGCGGUAAUACGGAGGGUGCAAGCGUUACUCGGAAUCACUGGGCGUAAAGAGUGCGCAGGCGGGCUUGUAAGUCAGAUGUGAAAUCCUGUAGCUUAACUACAGAACUGCAUUUGAAACUAUGAGUCUAGAGUGUGGGAGAGGUAGGUGGAAUGCUUGGUGUAGGGGUAAAAUCCGUAGAUAUCAAGAGGAAUACUCAUUGCGAAGGCGACCUACUGGAACAUUACUGACGCUCAUGCACGAAAGCGUGGGGAGCAAACAGGAUUAGAUACCCCAGUAGUC
RNAcentral lists this ribosomal RNA (460 nucleotides) under uncultured bacterium. RNAcentral's name for it is "partial 16S ribosomal RNA". It matches the Rfam family "Bacterial small subunit ribosomal RNA", at positions 338 to 795 of the family's 1533-position model. The record is from RNAcentral.